AGUAACGCGUGGAUAACCUGCCUUACACUGGGGGAUAACACUUAGAAAUAGGUGCUAAUACCGCAUAAGCGCACAGAGCCGCAUGGCUCAGUGUGAAAAACUCCGGUGGUGUAAGAUGGAUCCGCGUCUGAUUAGCUGGUUGGCGGGGUAGAAGCCCACCAAGGCGACGAUCAGUAGCCGGCCUGAGAGGGUGAACGGCCACAUUGGGACUGAGACACGGCCCAAACUCCUACGGGAGGCAGCAG
RNAcentral lists this ribosomal RNA (245 nucleotides) under uncultured bacterium. Its description in RNAcentral is "partial 16S ribosomal RNA". It matches the Rfam family "Bacterial small subunit ribosomal RNA", at positions 109 to 354 of the family's 1533-position model. The record is from RNAcentral.